Molecule: ribosomal RNA, 309 nt
Filed under: uncultured eukaryote
Lineage: Eukaryota
Description: partial 18S ribosomal RNA
Rfam family: Eukaryotic small subunit ribosomal RNA
Source: RNAcentral
CCCUUAGAUGUUCUGGGCGGCCCGCGCACUACAUUGGCACUGGCAACAAGAUCCUAGAUCUGGUAUUUCGGGGUAUUCUACCAACUGGUGUCGUGACUGGGAUUAACCCCUGCAAUUAUUGGUUAUGAACGAGGAAUUCCUUGUAAUCACGGUUUAUCAACCCGUGUUGAAUGCGUCCCUGCCCUUUGUACACACCGCCCGUCGCUCCUACCGAUGAAUCGUCCGGUGAAGUUCAUGGAGUCGCGGCUGCUCCAGCUGUUUUCGAAGUGAAAUGGACCUCAUGAUUUAGAGGAAGGAGAAGUCGUAACA